RNAcentral lists this long non-coding RNA (949 nucleotides) under Homo sapiens (human). RNAcentral's name for it is "HSALNT0328930". The record is from RNAcentral. Lineage: Eukaryota; Metazoa; Chordata; Mammalia; Primates; Hominidae.
AAGAGAGAAUCAACCAAGGGGAGAUGGUCCCAGAAGUCAAACAGAAGGGAGUGAUUCGCUGUGAUGAAUGCUGCAGAGGCCAAAUAAGGUGGGAACUUUGGCUUUAGACAUGUGGACAUUAGAGUGAUCUUAGACUGAGAAGUUUUAAGAGAUGAUAGGGUUGGAAUUUCAUUGGGAAUAAUUUGAAGAGUAACAGGGGAGAAAAUAGAGACAACAAAAGCACAUACUCUUUAAAGAAGUUUUGCUAUACAGGAGAUAGAAUAAUGGAUGGGCAGGCAUAGGAGAUCAAGGAAGCAUCUUUUUAAAAACUACAGACGUCAGCAUGUUUAAACAAGAAGAGAGAGUGUGACAGAGAGGGAGAGGAAAGAAAGUUGGAGUAAGAGUGAGAAAGAGUAAGAUUAAUAGAUAGCAAAAUAUAGCUGGGCGAGGUGGCUCAUGCCUGUAAUCUCAGCACUUUGGGAGGCCGGGCGGGGGGAAAAUGUUUCACGAGGUCAGGAGUUCGAGACCACCCUGGCCAACAUGGUGAAACCCCGUCUGUACUAAAAAUACAAAAAUUAGCCGAGUGUGGUGGCUCAUGCCUGUAAUCUCAGCUACUUGGCUGGCUGAGACAGGAGAAGAAUCCCUUGAACCUAGGGAGGCAGAGGUUGUAGUGAGCCAAGAUCGUGCCACUGCACUCUAGCCUGGGUGACAGAGAGAGACUCCGUCUCAAAAAAGAAGAAGAAGAAAAAAAGCAUAAGAUAUCCAAGAAAAUUAGAGAGAAUAAGAUUCAGAACCUAAGAAAAGAAGACAGCAAGAAGAAGCCACUUUGAGCCCCUAUGAUUUCAUCUUUGAUCCACUCAUCCAGCACUCCAUACUCCUUGAUCCCUACCCACCAAAUUCUCCUUAAAAGCCCUGGUCUCCAAAUGUUCAAGGCGACCGAUUUGAGUAAUAAAACUCUAGUCUCCCAUUU